UAUGUUAGCUUGCUAAUAUAUUUAGUAGCAAAUGGGUGAGUAACACGUACCUAACCUACCUUUUGGACCGGGAUAACUAUUGGAAACAGCAGCUAAUACCGGAUAAAAUAAAAAAAUGCAUGUUUUUUUAUUAAAAGGAGCCUUUAAAGCUCCACCAAAAAAUGGGGGUGCGCAACAUUAGUUAGUUGGUAGGGUAAAGGCCUACCAAGACGAUGAUGUUUAGCGGGGCCAAGAGGCUGUACCGCCACACUGGGAUUGAGAUACGGCCCAGACUCCUACGGGAGGCAGCAGUAAGGAAUAUUCCACAAUGAGCGAAAGCUUGAUGGAGCAACACAGAGUGCAG
RNAcentral lists this ribosomal RNA (343 nucleotides) under Mesomycoplasma ovipneumoniae. RNAcentral's name for it is "Mycoplasma ovipneumoniae partial 16S ribosomal RNA". It matches the Rfam family "Bacterial small subunit ribosomal RNA", at positions 71 to 406 of the family's 1533-position model. The record is from RNAcentral. Lineage: Bacteria; Bacillati; Mycoplasmatota; Mycoplasmoidales; Metamycoplasmataceae.